RNAcentral lists this long non-coding RNA (2030 nucleotides) under Amborella trichopoda. RNAcentral's name for it is "long non-coding RNA (ATRI_LNC002894)". Lineage: Eukaryota; Viridiplantae; Streptophyta; Magnoliopsida; Amborellales; Amborellaceae. The record is from RNAcentral.
UCUUAUUGUAUACAAUGACAAAAGAAAAUUAUAUAACUUGCAGAUUGUGCAAUGAGAGUCCUUAAUGACCAAGAGAGGGAAAGAGAAAGAGUCACCAUCAUCAAAGACUGUUCUUAGUUAGCUAUUACAGUCGGGUACAUGUAUUUUGGUCCCAAAAACAAGAGGUGAACAGUUGCAUAGAUUGCUUUAUGAGCUCUCUUACUGAAAUUCGAAACACAAUUGUCCCCUUCCUUUCCCGUUCUUCAUACAUUGCCUCUUCUAGCUCCUUGCUUUCAACUUGUAAGCUCUCUUUAUGAAAUUCUAAACACCACUUUUCCCUCUCUUUUCCCUCGCAUUAUACAUUGCCUCUUCCAGCUACCUGCUUUCUGCCUGUAAGCUGUCUAUCUCUUGCCUCUUCCAGCUACCUGCUUUCUGCCUGUAAGCUGUCUAUCUCUGCCUCUUGCCUCUUGCCUCUUGCCUUUGUUUCGGUAACUGGUUUCUUAGCUGGUAAUUGGAGGUCAAAUUCUUCGCCAAGUUCUCCUUGGUUGCCAACAAUUGGGCCUUCCAGCUUUCCUCAAACACUAUCUCGGUAUCAUACAGAAUUCCAUUGCUGCCUUUUAGAUCCUUGAAGGUUGACUGUAGCUAAGAAAAAGGACUGUACUAAUGUGAACUUGGGAUUGUAGCAUCUCUCUCUCUCCCUCUCUCUCUCUUUCUCCUGAGAAGUUCAGUAAUCCAAUCCUUCUUGCUCUCUCAUAAAAAUAACUAGAAUGUUUUUAGUGCAAUGGAAAACGCCAGAUAAAUUCAUACCUCACGGAUGGCAUUUCUCGUUUCAGUGCGUUCGGAGCGACCUGUGGAUGCAAGCCUCUCCACCUCUUAUCUGAACCUUUUCAUUUCCAGUUCUUUGGCCUUAUAAUAACUGAUCAAUCUCACCCUUUAAGGACCUUGCUCUCACAUAUUUCACCAAAAGAUUUAAAACUUCGUUUUAGAGAAAUUUCUUACAGAAAACCAUGACUCAAUUUACUCUUGAAACUUCUUCUAUGUCGAAACCUUGGUGAAAACUUUGAUUUAAUAUGGUAUUUGAGUUUUAGUUUUUCUUCUAGUUGUAUGGACAUGAAAUUUUGAACUUGUUUGUAUCCAACUCGGUCGCAUCUAAAAAAUUAUAAAGUAUAAUUUGUAAAAAACAAUUUGGCCAAAACAGCACCAAGAAAUAUUGACGAGGAGAUUUGGUCAAUUUAUUUUUUAAAAUUUAUUUUAUUAUAUAUUUUCUUAAGUGCCUCCAUAGUUAUUGACUUUGCGUAGCCUCAAUAAAUCUUUUAUAUUAUUUUAACUCAACUUUUUUAAUGAGUAGAAAGAGAAAAAGAUAGUUAAAAAGUUUUUAAGAUGAAAUGGUAUAAAAAGAUUUGUUGAAGCUAAUUUUUAUGGUUGAAAGUUAAUAAAAGAGACAGAUAAGAGAUGAUGGAAUAUGGUGAAAUAUUUAAGGGUUUUUUAUCAUGUUUGAAACGGAAGGAGGGUCUACCAUGAAAUAAUAUGAGGAAUUAGAUAUCUAUACGAAAUUUUUUCUAUUUACAAUGAAAGGCUAUUUAACAAAAUACGUAUGAGAGAUUCAUUAUUAACAUUUCACACAUUUACAACUAUUCCGAAUUUAUUUGUUUUGUAUUUUGAGGGAUACAUUGAAAUUAAAUCAGAUAAAAUGGAUAAGUUAAAUUGUUCGUAUUUUUUAUAAGGGAAAAGUUUAUAUAGAGCUGAGGCUCUAAACAAUCAAAUUAGAUUCUACCUCAAAAAAUUUACUACAAGAGGUUGUUUUGAUGUCCAAAUAUCUUCAAAUUGAUCAUCUCGACAUCAAGAUGCAAGGACAUGAGAAAAAAAUGGAUUUUAAAUUUUGGAAAUAAUGUAUUUCGGAGUGCAUUUUGGGACUAUCAAUUUUCAAGAUUUUCAAGUUUUCAUAUAUCUCUCAAUGUACACUAUUUUUUAAGCUUUAAACUUUAUAAACAAAAAUAGAAAUAUAUUUUAAGGCUAUAAAAAAGAUUUCCAAUAUUGAAACUACAUUUCAC